Long non-coding RNA from Ictalurus punctatus (channel catfish), 1022 nucleotides. The record is from Ensembl. NCBI's taxonomy places the organism in Eukaryota, Metazoa, Chordata, Actinopteri, Siluriformes, Ictaluridae.
GUCCGUUACGUUGGUGACGUCACCACGAGCGCGAGAAGUCGAAGGUAGGAGCAGAAAGCGGUGUUAGUGUUAGUUCUGGCCCGUUUGGACCCAAACUAAAGUGUAUCAGUAUGAAGCAGGCGGUGACGGCGCACUGAUUCACUCUCGGAGCUCGGUUCACUAAUGACCGAAUCACCGAGGAACCGACCAAAGAUAACUCACACCCGCACGGAGAAGAAGAACAAGAGGAGGAGAAGAUGAGCUGGAGUGGGGCAAAGAGAACUGCAUUCAGAUCAAACGGAUACAAGAGAGGUGGCCGAGUUGUUUGAGGAUCUAAAGAAUUGAGUGUCACAAUUCAACAUGCACAUCAGCGAAACUUUUCCCUCUGACUACACCAGCACGCACGCACAGAAAUUCAUAGUGCAGGUGGCGAUUGCAGGCACAUUUUAUCCGAACUGCUUCCUCCAGGGAACUCUAUGGAAACGACCCCAGGACCACCAUAGUGGUGUGUAAUCUCCCUCCAUUUGCAUUCCUCUACUAUAAACAGCUCCAGUCUCUCUUCAGACACUGUGGUUAAAUCAAAUCCAUCUCCUUUGACAGCUCCAGGGCCUAUGUAGAGUUCUACCGCUCGUCAAUGAGAGGUUCUGGCGUUCUCCCAGAGGUCUCUCUGUCUCUCCUCCUCACGCAGCAGAGACUUCCUCUCCAUCUCAACGUUUAACCCGCUGGAGAGGUGGAGACUUGGGCAGGGGGGGUGAAUGUGGAUUUUCAGAAUCAGUCAGUGAGCCCUGUCGGGGUUCUGAGCAGCUCCAUUGAGUUGGAGAAUCUUCCGUCUAACCCUGUCUUUAUCGUCAAUAUCACCGAGGUGUCUGUUCCGCCUCUUUCACUUUCAGUGCACAAAUAAAAAAGAAGCAGUGGCUCCUGUUGUGUGUGUGUGUGUGUGUGUGUGUGUGUGUGUGCACUAACAGGAGGUCCAGGUGCAGCCUUUGGAUAUUGAUGAAGAUUUACUGCCCCUGCAAGACCUUCCUCAACUGCGUAGUCUGGAG